GUAGGUGGCAAGCGUUGUCCGGAAUUAUUGGGCGUAAAGCGCGCGCAGGUGGUUCUUUAAGUCUGAUGUGAAAGCCCCCGGGCUCAACCGGGGAGGGUCAUUGGAAACUGGGGAACUUGAGUGCAGGAGAGGAAAGUGGAAUUCCACGUGUAGCGGUGAAAUGCGUAGAUAUGUGGAGGAACACCAGUGGCGAAGCCGACUUUCUGGCCUGUAACUGACACUGAGGCGCGAAAGCGUGGGGAGCAAACAGGAUUAGAUACCCUGGUAGUCCACGCCGUAAACGAUGAGUGCUAAGUGUUGGGGGGUUUCCGCCCCUCAGUGCUGCAGCUAACGCAUUAAGCACUCCGCCUGGGGAGUACGGUCGCAAAGACUG
This 373-nucleotide ribosomal RNA is filed under the name uncultured organism. RNAcentral's name for it is "partial 16S ribosomal RNA". It matches the Rfam family "Bacterial small subunit ribosomal RNA", at positions 527 to 896 of the family's 1533-position model. The record is from RNAcentral.